CGGACCUCAUAAAGUGCGUCGUAGUCCGGAUUGGAGUCUGCAACUCGACUCCAUGAAGUCGGAAUCGCUAGUAAUCGUGGAUCAGAAUGCCACGGUGAAUACGUUCCCGGGCCUUGUACACACCGCCCGUCACACCAUGGGAGUGGGUUGCAAAAGAAGUAGGUAGCUUAACCUUCGGGAGGGCGCUUACCACUUUGUGAUUCAUGACUGGGGUGAAGUCGUAACAAGGUAACCGUAGGGGAACCUGCGGUUGGAUCACCUCCUUA
This 266-nucleotide ribosomal RNA is filed under the name Escherichia coli. RNAcentral's name for it is "partial 16S ribosomal RNA". It matches the Rfam family "Bacterial small subunit ribosomal RNA", at positions 1268 to 1533 of the family's 1533-position model. RNAcentral also lists the same sequence under 2 other names. Lineage: Bacteria; Pseudomonadati; Pseudomonadota; Gammaproteobacteria; Enterobacterales; Enterobacteriaceae. The record is from RNAcentral.